RNAcentral lists this long non-coding RNA (1683 nucleotides) under Sorghum bicolor (sorghum). Its description in RNAcentral is "long non-coding RNA (SBIC_LNC014043)". Lineage: Eukaryota; Viridiplantae; Streptophyta; Magnoliopsida; Poales; Poaceae. The record is from RNAcentral.
GAAAAUAAUAUUACAAAGGAGUUCACAAAUAAAAGUACAAGUUUAGAUUUUCCAAAUCGAUUAGAAAACAACAUAGCUUUCAAAUGAUUAUAAUAACAUAAGUUUCAAAUACAUUGCUAGCAUAAGUGACAUCCUCCGACAAAAGCAUGUAGAUGAGAACACUAUAUAGAAUCACCGAGGCCACCGGCAGUUAGCCACCAUCCUUAGCAGGCUGAAGACUUCACCUGCAACAUGGUGGGAUAAACCCUGAGUACUCAAAUGUACUCAGCUAGACUUACCCGACAGGAGAGAAAAUAAAAGACUCUCAAUGAUAUGCAAGGCUAUUUGGUGGAGUUUGUUGGAUAGCAUAACUUUGCCAAAAAGAGCAUUACUAUCACGAGUCCUUACAUUCAACCUUUUAGUCAAUAUUUUAGCAUCAAGUUCGGUUAAGCUACCAUAGCUAGAUUUUGCACCUAUUCUAUAGCAAUCACUUGAUUAUUAAGCAUCAUAUUAAUAACCAUAUCCGGUUUAUCAUAUAGCCAUCAUCAUCAUCAUAACCAUUAUGUUUCAUUUAGUGUAUCUACGUUGCCGUUGCUCGAGUCAAGUUCUCACUAUCCGGGAGAGACGGCGAUUCGAAUCGAUUCCUAUCCAGCUGGAGGGGUAUUCCUAGCACUCACCCAAGCAUACCUCGCAAGGGCAGCUCGGAUCACCUUUAGCACAACUCUGAACCAAUUCGCGGGUCCGUCCAGCGCCGCACCCCCAGGGACCGCCAAUCUGCCAGGGCAGGACUCUAACCUGACACCUUGGGCUUACGCCAUUGACUCCCCGCACAUCCUUGCUACCAACCGGGGUGCACACUCAUACAGAACGGGGUAUCCGGCCUGAGUUGCACUCGUAGGCUUCGCAGUCGGAACGACUUAUCCGGCCAACUAAGUGUUAGGCAUGCGUUCAACAUGACACGAGGACGUACAGCGAUUCGGUCCUUAACCGACACAGACAGGGAUAGAUUCACACCCAAGACCUCCAUGCCUUGUUGCUUCACUAUCGUCAUCCCGCCGGUCUCAAAUUCAUUAUUAGCACAUGGUUAUUUCCACGAUAGCAAAUAUAGCCAACCAUGAUCUGGUAUCCACCUAUCUCUCGCAGGUGACAGGAAAUCACCUGGCUUCUACCGAGCUAAGCAUAGAACGUCUUCCUUAUACUAGUAAGGGUUCAGGUAGUUUCGUAUAGUGGACAAGGUAGGAAUAUAUGCACCAACGGUUUCAUUCAACUCCUAUCACCUAAUGCAUCAUAUAAAGGUAUACUCUUGUGCUUUUAUAAAAAGAGAGGGUAGGAGACUUAGAAUGCUCCGAGGCUUGCCUGGAAUCCGACACAAGUCAGUUAAGUUAGCUUGCGCCAUCUUGACGGCAUCCAAGUUCACAACACUUGUGUAGUCCUUCAAUCAUCCCGAUAGGUCCACCAUCACGUCCUUCACGCGGUUCAUCUAGCGUACCUAGAUGACAUGCAAGAUGCAAGUGCAUGAACACAUGUUUCAUAGGAUCACAUAACACUAAUUAACACCACCAAGACAUGAGUCACUUGAAACCACACACAAUGUAAGUUAAUCAAGCAUUCAUGCAUUUUUAGCAAAUUCUGGACAUACAUGCAACAGUUGAGUAAAUAAAUCAUAACCAGAGUUAUACAGAUCCAAAAUCCAUGCAACAAGAC